RNAcentral lists this non-coding RNA (28 nucleotides) under Mus musculus (house mouse). The record is from RNAcentral. Lineage: Eukaryota; Metazoa; Chordata; Mammalia; Rodentia; Muridae.
UCCCGUUCCUGUCGCUGGCUGAGUGUGA